Molecule: long non-coding RNA, 792 nt
Filed under: Mus pahari (shrew mouse)
Lineage: Eukaryota; Metazoa; Chordata; Mammalia; Rodentia; Muridae
Description: lncRNA (MGP_PahariEiJ_G0005415.1)
Source: RNAcentral
CUUCAAACAGUUUGUAUUAGAAGGGUGGCUGGGAAAAAUGAAGUCCUUAUGCACGGAGCCACCGCGUUUCACGGCGAUGUUCACCUGGCCCAUGAAGAUCUCCGGACAUAAAACCAGGCAACAAAAUCAGGAUGCAACAGGCUGGAGGGGCAAAGCACAGAAGUGGAAUGGGUCCUGCCAUAGGUGAGGGUUGACAUCCUCUUACACCUGCCGCUUCAUGCUUGUGCUUGGGAUGGUGAUGCGUCCGAUCUUGUGCAGGUCUUGUACACAGAAGAGCAGCAGCUGCAAGCUCAGGAAUGAAACGGCCACACCGUGCACAGAAGACAGUGCCCCAUGAUGGAUUCUCCGUUUCUUCCUCAGACACCCACUGUGAAGAAACACUUGAGUGUCACUGGCCAUGAGAGUCAUCUGGAUUUCAGUGAUAACUGGAUCCUCCUCCUGUUCCCAAGGCUACCCAUCAAGUAGGUGUGUGGUAAGACCCAGGAUUCUGUUCUGAUAACAGGUGCCUGGGGGCUGGGACUCUGAUGUGCAAUCCACUGACGUAGGAUCCGUAAACAUCUUCCACUUAGAUCAGGUCGUCUCCGUCUUCCCCAGUGUCUGUGUGCCAGAUGUUGCUGGGGCUGCUCAGUCCUGCAAGGCUCUGACGCCAGCCUUCUAGUAGAAGAAAUGUGCAGCUGAAAGCCUCUCUUAGUCUCUUCACUGAUAGCCAAUGGAAUGCCCAUUUGAGCCAAUUUGGGGGAAGAGAUUAUUAGCAGAAAUGAGGUAAACACUAAAAGGCAAAAUGGAUCACCU